CCUUAGAGUUUGAUCCUGGCUCAGGACGAACGCUGGCGGCGCGCCUAACACAUGCAAGUCGAACGAGCGAGAGAGAGCUUGCUUUCUUGAGCGAGUGGCGAACGGGUGAGUAACGCGUGAGGAACCUGCCUCAAAGAGGGGGACAACAGUUGGAAACGACUGCUAAUACCGCAUAAGCCCACAGCUCGGCAUCGAGCAGAGGGAAAAGGAGCAAUCCGCUUUGAGAUGGCCUCGCGUCCGAUUAGCUAGUUGGUGAGGUAAUGGCCCACCAAGGCGACGAUCGGUAGCCGGACUGAGAGGUUGAACGGCCACAUUGGGACUGAGACACGGCCCAGACUCCUACGGGAGGCAGCAGUGGGGAAUAUUGCACAAUGGGGGAAACCCUGAUGCAGCGACGCCGCGUGGAGGAAGAAGGUCUUCGGAUUGUAAACUCCUGUUGUUGAGGAAGAUAAUGACGGUACUCAACAAGGAAGUGACGGCUAACUACGUGCCAGCAGCCGCGGUAAAACGUAGGUCACAAGCGUUGUCCGGAAUUACUGGGUGUAAGGGAGCGCAGGCGGGAAGACAAGUUGGAAGUGAAAUCCAUGGGCUCAACCCAUGAACUGCUUUCAAAACUGUUUUUCUUGAGUAGUGCAGAGGUAGGCGGAAUUCCCGGUGUAGCGGUGGAAUGCGUAGAUAUCGGGAGGAACACCAGUGGCGAAGGCGGCCUACUGGGCACCAACUGACGCUGAGGCUCGAAAGUGUGGGUAGCAAACAGGAUUAGAUACCCUGGUAGUCCACACUGUAAACGAUGAUUACUAGGUGUUGGAGGAUUGACCCCUUCAGUGCCGCAGUUAACACAAUAAGUAAUCCACCUGGGGAGUACGACCGCAAGGUUGAAACUCAAAGGAAUUGACGGGGGCCCGCACAAGCAGUGGAGUAUGUGGUUUAAUUCGACGCAACGCGAAGAACCUUACCAAGUCUUGACAUCCUGCGACGGUUCUGGAAACAGAACUUUCCUUCGGGACGCAGAGACAGGUGGUGCAUGGUUGUCGUCAGCUCGUGUCGUGAGAUGUUGGGUUAAGUCCCGCAACGAGCGCAACCCUUAUGGUCAGUUACUACGCAAGAGGACUCUGGCCAGACUGCCGUUGACAAAACGGAGGAAGGUGGGGAUGACGUCAAAUCAUCAUGCCCUUUAUGACUUGGGCUACACACGUACUACAAUGGCGUUAAACAAAGAGAAGCAAGACCGCGAGGUGGAGCAAAACUCAGAAACAACGUCCCAGUUCGGACUGCAGGCUGCAACUCGCCUGCACGAAGUCGGAAUUGCUAGUAAUCGCAGAUCAGCAUGCUGCGGUGAAUACGUUCCCGGGCCUUGCACACACCGCCCGUCA
Molecule: ribosomal RNA, 1373 nt
Filed under: uncultured bacterium
Lineage: Bacteria
Description: bacterial SSU rRNA
Rfam family: Bacterial small subunit ribosomal RNA
Source: RNAcentral